This is a long non-coding RNA of Chrysoperla carnea, 253 nucleotides long. RefSeq lists it as uncharacterized. The transcript has 3 exons. The record is from RefSeq and is a predicted model, not a curated record. NCBI's taxonomy places the organism in Eukaryota, Metazoa, Arthropoda, Insecta, Neuroptera, Chrysopidae.
CCUUGUUAGUUUCGAAGUACAAUCCGACUUUUUUGCAACCACAUUUAGCACUGCAUCCCUUUUUGCAGUUGCAAAAAAUAGUGUUCAGCAGUUUUUCCGGCGCAGGUGGAAUUAAAGUUUGAACUGGCUCUAAUAUAUUGUUGACCAACUUCCAACCCCAGUCUGUAGGGUCUAGCUGAUAACCAAGCCACACUUGAACUUGGUAAUAUACUCGAAGAAGAUGUUGGUGAGCAGCAACUGAGGUUGGAGGAAG